UACAGAGGUCUCAACCGUUGUUCGGAUUCAUUGGGCGUAAAGGGUGCGUAGGCGGUCGCGUAAGUCAGGUGUGAAAUCCCGGGGCUCAACCCCGGAACUGCACUUGAUACUGCGUGGCUAGGAUACUGGAGAGGAGACUGGAAUUUACGGUGUAGCAGUGAAAUGCGUAGAUAUCGUAAGGAAGACCAGUGGCGAAGGCGAGUCUCUGGACAGUUAUCGACGCUGAGGCACGAAGGCUAGGGGAGCAAACGGG
This 253-nucleotide ribosomal RNA is filed under the name uncultured Spartobacteria bacterium. Its description in RNAcentral is "partial 16S ribosomal RNA". It matches the Rfam family "Bacterial small subunit ribosomal RNA", at positions 524 to 776 of the family's 1533-position model. The record is from RNAcentral. Lineage: Bacteria; Pseudomonadati; Verrucomicrobiota; Spartobacteria.